This 589-nucleotide long non-coding RNA is filed under the name Junco hyemalis (dark-eyed junco). Its description in RNAcentral is "lncRNA (ENSJHYG00000003307.1)". Lineage: Eukaryota; Metazoa; Chordata; Aves; Passeriformes; Passerellidae. The record is from RNAcentral.
GUGAAUUUCUCAAGGUGGGGCUCUGAAAUUCAUAAAAAUGUGGAAUUUAAGGGAAAUAUUUAGGUGGAAAACCAAAAGUACCUCAGGAAAUCCCAAAAAGUUCUCAGGAAACCCAAAAAGUUCUCAGGAAAUCCCAAAUUCUCUCAGGAGACCCCAAAAAGUUCUCAGGAAGCCCCAAAAAGCUCCCAGGAAACCCCAAAAGGCCCCCAGGAAACCCCACAAGGAUCUCAGGAAAUCCCAAAAAGUUCUCAGGAGAUCCCAAAAGGAUCUCAGGGAACCCCAAAAGCAUCUCAGAAACCACCAAAUUCUCUCAGGAGAGCCCCAAAGGCUCCCAGGAGAUCCCACAAGGUCGGUGGGAAUCCCAGGGCGCUGCUCCAGCCCUGAGGGAGGGCUGGGACAGCUGAGCCUGCUCAGAGGAGAAAAGCAACAGGAGAAGUGUCCAGGAGGGAGCCAGGGCCACCAGAUCCCAGGGGAACAUCCUGAGAUCCCACAGGAACCUCCAGCAGAUCCCACAGAAACAUUCCCAUGGGAAUCCACCAAAUUCCACGUAAACAUCCAGAAUAUCCCACAGGAACAUCCAAAAGAUCUC